UCCGAAGGGGGCUAGCGUUGCUCGGAAUCACUGGGCGUAAAGGGUGCGUAGGCGGGUUUUUUAGUCAGCGGUGAAAUCCUGGAGCUCAACUCCAGAACUGCCUUUGAUACUGAAAGUCUUGAGUAUGGGAGAGGUGAGUGGAACUGCGAGUGUAGAGGUGAAAUUCGUAGAUAUUCGCAAGAACACCAGUGGCGAAGGCGGCUCACUGGCCCAUUACUGACGCUGAGGCACGAAAGCGUGGGGAGCAAACAGG
Molecule: ribosomal RNA, 253 nt
Filed under: uncultured bacterium
Lineage: Bacteria
Description: partial 16S ribosomal RNA
Rfam family: Bacterial small subunit ribosomal RNA
Source: RNAcentral